This 593-nucleotide unclassified non-coding RNA is filed under the name Brizochloa humilis. Its description in RNAcentral is "sequence contains ITS1, 5.8S rRNA gene and ITS2". The stretch from base 222 to 377 matches the Rfam family "5.8S ribosomal RNA". Lineage: Eukaryota; Viridiplantae; Streptophyta; Magnoliopsida; Poales; Poaceae. The record is from RNAcentral.
UCGUGACCCGUACAAAACAGACCGUGCACGCGUCAUCUAUCCGCCAGCGGCGGCAUCGUCCGUUGCUUGGCCAAAAUCCUUGAUAACCUCCUCUCCUUGGAGGGGGGGCUCGGGGUAAAAGAACCUACGGCGCCUAAGGCGUCAAGGAACACUGUGCCUAACCCGGGGACGCGGCUGGCUUGCUAGCCGUCCCUCGUGUUGCAAUGCUAUUUAAUCCACACGACUCUCGGCAACGGAUAUCUCGGCUCUCGCAUCGAUGAAGAACGUAGCGAAAUGCGAUACCUGGUGUGAAUUGCAGAAUCCCGCGAACCAUCGAGUCUUUGAACGCAAGUUGCGCCCGAGGCCACCUGGCCGAGGGCACGCCUGCCUGGGCGUCACGCCAAAUACGCUUCCACACCUUCUUUGGGUAGUGGGAUGCGGCAUUUGGCCCCCCGUCACGCAAGAGGCGGUGGGCCGAAGUUGCGGCUGCCGGCGUAUCGUGUCGGACACAGCGCGUGGUGGGCGACCUCGCUUUACUUACCGUAGUGCAUCCGGCCCGUACCGACGUGAUGGCCUUGAUUGACCCUAAAAACAGAGCGUUUGACGCUUCGACC